GGACUACAGGGGUAUCUAAUCCUGUUUGCUCCCCACGCUUUCGCACCUCAGCGUCAGUCUCUGUCCAGGUGGUCGCCUUCGCCACCGGUGUUCCUCCCAAUAUCUACGAAUUUCACCUCUACACUGGGAAUUCCACCACCCUCUCCAGGACUCAAGUCUUCCAGUAUCGAAUGCACUUCCACAGUUAAGCUGUGGGAUUUCACACCCGACUUAAAAAACCGCCUACGCGCGCUUUACGCCCAGUAAUUCCGAACAACGCUUGCACCCUCUGUCUUACCGCGGCUGCUGGCAC
This 292-nucleotide ribosomal RNA is filed under the name uncultured bacterium. RNAcentral's name for it is "partial 16S ribosomal RNA". The record is from RNAcentral.